UUGUUAUUCCUUCUGUAGCAAACUGUCCAUUAAAGCUUAAUACAAAGUAAGGGCUGUCUUCUGAGUUUCAUGUCAGAACUUUUGCAUUGUCGAGCAUUGCUAGCGUGUCUGGAUGUUGUCAAGUUACAGUUCCAUUAGGUUCUCAUAAUGGUGGUUGUGUUUAUGUUUCAUUCAUCUCAUUCCAUGGGGCUGAUAAAUUUCUGCUUGAUACAGUGUUGGAUAUGUAUUGAACUCUUCAAGAGCAAUUUAGUGUUGCCUCCUAUUCUUUGCCAUUACCAGAUACCGAUGGCAACAUUGAAACUUCUGAGCUUCUAAAGGAGAAGGGAAAUGCAGCGUUUAAAGGAAGCCAGUGGAAUAAGGCACUUAAUUACUACACUGAGGCUAUCAAACUGAAUGGCAUGAAUGCGACUUACUACUGUAACCGAGCGGCUGCUUACUUAAAGUUAGCCUAAAUGUGAAGGCGUAUCUAAGACGUGGAGCUGCUAGAGAAUCACUACUACGCUAUAAGGAGGCCUUUGAAGGUCAGUUGGGAUAGGAUGUUAAAAGAUUCCAAAUUUUAAGGGAAAUCAUUCUACCAGGAUAUUUACCUUCAAGAUUGCUGCUUGAGUUGAUUUGGAUCUCUAUAGUAGUGUUUGGUGGAGAGACAGAGACUGAAAGACUGAGACUGAGAGACAGAGACUAAGAGACAGAGACAGAAACAAAUCUCAGUAUUCU
This is a non-coding RNA of Arachis ipaensis, 714 nucleotides long. The record is from RefSeq and is a predicted model, not a curated record. Lineage: Eukaryota; Viridiplantae; Streptophyta; Magnoliopsida; Fabales; Fabaceae.